RNAcentral lists this ribosomal RNA (600 nucleotides) under uncultured marine bacterium. RNAcentral describes it as "bacterial SSU rRNA". It matches the Rfam family "Bacterial small subunit ribosomal RNA", at positions 8 to 597 of the family's 1533-position model. The record is from RNAcentral.
AGAGUUUGAUCCUGGCUCAGAUUGAACGCUGGCGGCAGGCCUAACACAUGCAAGUCGAGCGGAAACGAUGGAGUGCUUGCACUCCAGGCGUCGAGCGGCGGACGGGUGAGUAACGCGUGAGAAUCUGCCCAUUAGUGGGGGAUAACCCGGGGAAACUCGGGCUAAUACCGCAUACGUCCUACGGGACAAAGCAGGGGACCUUUUGGCCUUGCGCUGAUGGAUGAGCUCGCGUCGGAUUAGCUUGUUGGUGAGGUAAAGGCUCACCAAGGCGACGAUCCGUAGCUGGUCUGAGAGGAUGAUCAGCCACACCGGGACUGAGACACGGCCCGGACUCCUACGGGAGGCAGCAGUGGGGAAUCUUGGACAAUGGGGGCAACCCUGAUCCAGCCAUGCCGCGUGUGUGAAGAAGGCCUUCGGGUUGUAAAGCACUUUCAGCAGGGAGGAAGGCUUUGGGUUAAUACCCUGGAGUACUUGACGUUACCUGCAGAAGAAGCACCGGCUAAUUUCGUGCCAGCAGCCGCGGUAAUACGAAAGGUGCAAGCGUUAAUCGGAAUUACUGGGCGUAAAGCGCGCGUAGGCGGUGUGUUAAGUCGGAUGUGA